UGGUCCUGCCUGCCCAGUGACCACGUCGUUCAACGGCCGCGGUAUUUUAACCGCGCUAAGGUAGCGUAAUCACUUGUCUCUUAAAUGGAGACCUGUAUGAAUGGCAUCACGAGGGUUUAACUGUCUCCUUCCCCCAGUCAAUGAAAUUGAUCUACCCGUGCAGAAGCGGGUAUAUUACCAUAAGACGAGAAGACCCUAUGGAGCUUUAGGUAAGAGAUCAAACAUGUAAAUAAGACAAUAUUACCCAAGGACACCAAAUGUGCCUUAAAUUUAAUGUAAACAUGAUCUUAACCCCUUCGGUUGGGGCGACCACGGAGGAAAAAGAAGCCUCCACAUGGAAUGAGUUUAUCCUCCAAACCCAGGGCCACAACCCUAAGCAACAGAACAUCUGACCAUAAAUGAUCCGGGACACACUUACACACCCGAUCAAUGAACCAAGUUACCCUAGGGAUAACAGCGCAAUCCUUUCCCAGAGCCCAUAUCGACGAAAGGGUUUACGACCUCGAUGUUGGAUCAGGACAUCCUAAUGGUGAAGCCGCUAUUAAGGGCUCGUUUGUUCAACGAUUAAUAGUCCUACGUGAUCU
RNAcentral lists this ribosomal RNA (584 nucleotides) under Muraenichthys hattae. RNAcentral's name for it is "partial 16S ribosormal RNA". It matches the Rfam family "Bacterial large subunit ribosomal RNA", at positions 1850 to 2606 of the family's 2925-position model. The record is from RNAcentral. Lineage: Eukaryota; Metazoa; Chordata; Actinopteri; Anguilliformes; Ophichthidae.